CCUACGGGAGGCAGCAGUGGGGAAUAUUGCGCAAUGGGCGAAAGCCUGACGCAGCGACGCCGCGUGAGGGAUGAAGGUCUUCGGAUCGUAAACCUCUGUCAGCAGGGAAGAACGGUCACUGUGCUAAUCAGCAGUGAAUUGACGGUACCUGCAAAGGAAGCACCGGCUAACUCCGUGCCAGCAGCCGCGGUAAUACGGAGGGUGCGAGCGUUAACCGGAAUUACUGGGCGUAAAGCGCUGGUGGGCGGUAUGUCAAGUCAAAGGUGAAAUCCACGGGCUCAACGUGGGAACUGCCUUUGAAACUGGAAACCUUGAGUGUGGGAGAGGAGAGUGGAAUUCCGGGGGUAGGGGUGAAAUGCGUAGAUAUAAGGAGGAACACCAGUGGCGAAGGCGAAGAUCUGGAACAUAACUGACGCUGAGGAGCGAAAGCGUGGGGAGCAAACAGGAUUAGAUACCCGUGUAGUC
Molecule: ribosomal RNA, 465 nt
Filed under: uncultured bacterium
Lineage: Bacteria
Description: partial 16S ribosomal RNA
Rfam family: Bacterial small subunit ribosomal RNA
Source: RNAcentral